AUUGAACGCUGGCGGCAUGCCUUACACAUGCAAGUCGAACGGCAGCACGGAGCUUGCUCUGGUGGCGAGUGGCGAACGGGUGAGUAAUAUAUCGGAACGUACCCAAGAGUGGGGGAUAACGUAGCGAAAGUUACGCUAAUACCGCAUACGAUCUAAGGAUGAAAGCAGGGGAUCGCAAGACCUUGUGCUCCUGGAGCGGCCGAUAUCUGAUUAGCUAGUUGGUGAGGUAAAGGCUCAGCAAGGCAUCGAUCAGUAGCUGGUCUGAGAGGACGACCAGCCACACUGGAACUGAGACACGGUCCAGACUCCUACGGGAGGCAGCAGUGGGGAAUUUUGGACAAUGGGGGCAACCCUGAUCCAGCAAUGCCGCGUGAGUGAAGAAGGCCUUCGGGUUGUAAAGCUCUUUUGUCAGGGAAGAAACGGUGAAGGCUAAUAUCCUUUGCUAAUGACGGUACCUGAAGAAUAAGCACCGGCUAACUACGUGCCAGCAGCCGCCGUAA
This 500-nucleotide ribosomal RNA is filed under the name uncultured bacterium. RNAcentral's name for it is "partial 16S ribosomal RNA". It matches the Rfam family "Bacterial small subunit ribosomal RNA", at positions 30 to 523 of the family's 1533-position model. The record is from RNAcentral.